GGGUAUGUUAAUAGCAUACUCAUUUGACGUUAGCUGCAGAAGAAGCACCGGCUAAACUCCGUGCCAGCUAGCCGCGGUAAUACGGAGGGUGCGAGCGUUAAUCGGAAUUACUGGGCGUAAAGCGCAUGCAGGUGGUUUGUUAAGUCAGAUGUGAAAGCCCGGGGCUCAACCUCGGAAUUGCAUUUGAAACUGGCAAACUAGAGUACUGUAGAGGGGGUAGAAUUUCAGGUGUAGCGGUGAAAUGCGUAGAGAUCUGAAGGAAUACCGGUGGCGAAGGCGGCCCCCUGGACAGAUACUGACACUCAGAUCGCGAAAGCGUGGGGAGCAAACAGGAUUAGAUACCCUGGUAG
RNAcentral lists this ribosomal RNA (350 nucleotides) under uncultured bacterium. Its description in RNAcentral is "bacterial SSU rRNA". It matches the Rfam family "Bacterial small subunit ribosomal RNA", at positions 446 to 793 of the family's 1533-position model. The record is from RNAcentral.